ACGCAUACAUGGGAUUACCAUAUCAUUCUACGGCUCGUUUUCUAACGAUGAGUCGAUGGAACCUAGUUGCUGCAAGUGGAGAGACACAAGCAAGUUGGAGAGAGUUUUGUUUUGUCCCAAGGAAACCGGCAUUGUCUAGAUGCAUGGGGUCUAGUGGCCUACUCUAAUCCGCCGGCUGGCCUCGCGGCGCCGACAUGCCAACCGGCAGAGGGUAGUGGACAACUGGGCACUCGUUGCGGAGCUGAGCCGGUGAGCCCCGCGGCGGCAUCGGCCGGCUGCGUGCUUAUCGCUCAAGGCUCAAGCGUUUCGGAUAGGACCGUCAAGCCAGCAGCACAUGGUUCCGUCUCGUUGCCACGGGUGGUAUACAGCAGCCUCUGGAAACUGGGGCUACACGGACUCUCAGGCUCUCAGCUCAGGUGGAAAAGGUACGCUUCCUGGCUCUUCCGCUCUUGGAAAGGAUCAAAUUAAGAAAGUGCAAAAGAGAGGUGAAACGUCGUUUGCCUUCCAUCCUCCUGUGUUCUGUGGCUGCGGCCCUGCUCACGAUAGCUUUUGCUGCUGAUGCUAAACCAUCAUGAACCUUGACGGGUUCCAGAGUGGUGGUAGUUUUCGUCAUUGAUUACGGUUGAAACACUUCAUUUGUGGGUUCAUCGUAUACAAUGAACACGGCCAACGAUCAGCUCUGACAACUAACUUUACAUUAAAGUACAAGAGAAAUAUUGUGUCGAAGGCCAUAUCUUAUAGCAAGUCCACCAGUGCUUGUUAUUUCCAUGUGACCAAUCUAACUACCUAAGUGGUCAAAAUUAAGAGAGUUCGACCACCAAAUUCUAAAGACUAGCAUCAUGCACGCAAGCCACGUAGAAUUACAUAAAGAGUUCCCAUAUCGAUUAAUUAUUCAGCAUACGUCAAAAAAGGAAUGAUAUUGCUAGCCACCGCACACAGGAAGCACAAAAAGAAACGCUACAACCAACCUACCUCGAUUAGAAAAAUAAUCAAACAUAUAUACCAAAGCGAGAGUUGCAGCACUAUACAACAUUAUCCUCUUCGCCACUCCCAGCUAGUCUCAACUCUCAAGCGAACGAGACACAUCCCAAUCGUCAACCAAACUAGCAUCACAUAGAGGCGGCAUGCGGAGAAAACAAUAUGGCUCUAUGCACACGUAGAUGGUACAUCACUGAUUUUCACUAUUGCAGAACCACAUCUAUCUACAAUCUGUACAAGGGGAUAAUGAAUCCAGUAAUCCAACCACACUGCAUGUACGAAACAUUAUACCCUCCCAAACCACAACAUAAUUGCAUUGUUUAUUGACAUCUCAAGUAAUAAUUCCAGCACUGAUGGCACACCUGCUUAUCUAACCAGGUGCAUCAACAUGAUCAAUCCACGUCUAUACUUUUCCGGUCAUGUCGUAACAUGAGCUGCUUGUACCUUGGACGUAAUCAUUCUUCAAACUAUUAAACCUUUUCCUGGAAAGCGGGGAAAAAGGUCAUAAUUGACGUUAGACCAUAAUGUUACGAAUUUAUCAGUGCUUAUUCCCUGGGCUGUAAGAAUGCCCUAAGUGAAUAGCAGUACCUCAGCAACUCUAGCAAUAGUAAAUCAACUCUGGGCACACUCGAAACCCUCAGCAAACUCAUGCAUCCGAAAUCGUUCCAAAAAUUCGAAAGGCCUGCAUAUAGAAUGUGACCUUUUCCACAUCAGAAUUCAGAACUAAACAAUAACAUUGUACUGGUUUGUUGCCAUUACAUUUGACAUAAGCCAUGGCGGGUAAGUGACACUAAGAGAGGAUGGUGUUUAUUGUUUAUUUAUAUUAACUUAGCUAAUCUCCUAGAAUCAAAUGGCAUUGGAAGAAAACACAUUUGGUAAUGUACUAUAGAAAUGGCAAUUUCAAAGAUAGCAUGGGCACUGGAUGAAAAUCACAUCACUGCGCCAAAUAUUACUUAUGCUAGUCUAAUUAAAAGAGCAUAUCACAGUAUGAUGUUCUUAGUGAACCUUACAGCAAAAUUUGACGGUUCCGACAUAACUUCCGCUGAUUAUUCUCUAUGGCACUCAACACAUCAAGUUCUGGUCCUGCGACCAUAGAUGUAGCAUUUGCAUCGGGUGUCCAUAGCUAAUAAAUAAACAAAGAAAAGACAAAAGAGUGAGCCAAAUACUCAAGUACUACACUAGAAUAUAUUAAGCCACUUCAGAGAAAAUUGACAAUAUAGCACGGAAUAACGACAUGAUUCACAACCUUUCACUCAUUGUAUGGCUGACAUGCAGGGCCAGGACCCCCAUGUCAGGUGAUACAAUUGUAGCACAUGUGAACAUAGAAGUCAUUUUGUGGUAUGUGAGGAACAGCCUUAUAUAUUGGAUUAUCAAUUGCAACAAGUACAGGUUAUAUACCUUUAUCGUAUUAUCGAUUCCACUUGUUGCAACCGCGCAGUCAAAGGGAUGAGACUGUAUGCAGUUCACAACUAACGAAAAUACAGCACAAGUGAGAACCAGUGUUAAAAAGAUAACAGCAAAAGGGAAUUGAAAUAUAAUUACCAGCUCCAUCCCCUGCAAGCAUUUUAAUAAGCCUUCCUGUUCUCUUCUCCCAUAUGAACCAUCUACCAUCAUCACUUCCGCUGGCAAUGAACUCCCCUGUUGUAAGAGGAAUAAAGCACAAUAGUUGAGAACCGCAAGGGUAAGCUCAUAUUAUCGUGUAAAUUUUGCAUCCAAUUCAGAUGUUUUUUUCAUGCGAGGUUCUGGAUGUUUCAAGUGGGGAAGAACACAGCAUGAUAUUUUAUGUUUCAUGAAUCUAAGAAGAUCUGAGUCAGCGCAAGCUGUUAUGUAUUUAGUUAGUUUUAGUGACUACUGUAAAGUCCAGACUCCAGAUUUCCUUAACACAAGGCAUCAUGUUACUUUCAAAACAAAUAAAUUUAACUACAGGCUAGCACAGCAGAGUUCUAUGCCUUACUCUUACACAAAAAGUUAACAUGUUUCUGUUACUAUAAAUCUGCAAAUGAAAAUACAAGUGUUGAUGGAGCUGGUAAUCUGCGAAUGUAUUUUAACAUGUCUUCUAGCGAAAGUAGAACUAAAACAAGAACGCAUGAAGGACUAGCAUACCUUGCUCACCAAGAAAGCUAGCUUGUUUUAUAUCUGUCCCCACAUUGCAGUGUGCAACAUAUCUUUGUUUCAUAUCAAUGGCAACGUCCGACUGCAUCGCACGAUUUUGGAAAGUUGUGUUAAAAUCCAUGCACGAGCAUUAUAAAAAAAGUAUCUCUUAUUAGGUAUCACAUAAAAGGACGAUAAUAGAGGAAAUAACUACCUGGAGGGCAGAAUCAUCAUUGUGAGUGGAUUCGGUCGAUCCAUUCUCACCAGCCUGCUCAUUAGUUUGAUCCUCUCUUUGAUGAAAUCUGAAACUUAAACUACCACGAAAGACACCUUGAUCAUUCUCUCGGCUUUCAUCACCGGAUACUGAUGUCUCAUAGUCUAAUUCCAUUUCAUCGUCAUAAUCUGAAUCUUCUCGUCCCUCCUGUGAUGAAGAACCACUAACAUCGGAUCUAAACAAUAUAUCACUCAAUGAGCGUAAUUUCCCAUGUGUAUCAGCUUUAGCAUUCCCAUUCUGAUCCGUUCUGUUCUUCUCAAGUUCAGCUGCUUGAACAAAAGAAAUAUAUCACAAUAUAGAAGAUCAACAUCUUAAAAAUUAUAAUUCCUCGACUUCAAUGCCCAGAGCUUGAAAGUAGAAAGAGGCAUAAUGGACUGAGACACACAAACAGGCUAUGAGCAUGAUAUGCUCAUAAAAGGAAAACUCUAGGUCAUCUGUUUAUCAGUGAAGAACUAACAUAUAUUCAUAGCAGCAGAUACCAAUAAUGGAAGAUUAAUACUCCCGCCGUCCCAAAUUACUAUUGGUUUUGGCUUUUCUAGGUACAUAGCUCUAGAUAUGCACCUAGAUACAUAUUAUGUCUAGAUACAUAGUAAAAGUUAUGUAUCUAGAAAAGCUAAAACGAAUAGUAUUUUGGGACGGAGGAAGUAAUAGAUAAUAGAGUGCAGUAGAUGGAAGGAAAACAUCAUCUUGAUCAUGUAGCAUGCAAAUAAGUUAAUACCCAUAAAUAAUCAGUUCAUAUGCUAAAGUUAUGUGACAAAAUAAUAGUUUAUGACGUUAUCACAAAUAUACUCACCUGAAGCAACACGCUGCUUUAUAUCAUCCACCUGCUUCCUCAAUUCAGAAUGAGGCGGAAGAAGACUAUUUACCGCUUCUGCAUACUCAGAGGCCUCCUUCAGUCUUCCUAACUACACAAGGCAUGGCACGACUAUUUAAGAUACGGAAGCUAAGGAUCUGAUUCAGGACUUUUAAUUAAAUGAUUACUAAAUUUUAUUAGCGAGUCCAAAAGUAAACAAAGUAGACAAUGUGAUUAAACAAGGACCGAUCGGCUUAUCGGAAUUAUCAAAGCUUCAUGUAUUAGAGAUUGCUCAUGCUCAUAAAAUUUAUCUGGGAAAAGAAUAGGAAAAUAUUCAGUUAAAAAAGAACAGGAAAACAUAAUGACUUCUGAAUUUCUCGAACCCUUCAUGUUAGUGUGAAAUUCAACAUUUCCACAGGAACAAACUCGUGAAGGCUUGACCAGUUCGUAUAGAUACAGAGCUACUUCCUCCGUCCCAAAUUACUAUUCGUUUUGGCUUUUCUAGGUAUAUAGCUUUUGCUACGUAUGUAGACAUAGCGUAUAUCUAAAUGCGUAGCAAAAGCUAUGUACCUAGAAAAGCCAAAACGAAUUGUAAUUUGGGACGGAGGGAGUACCAAACUAUUUUUGCAGUAUACACGCAUGUUGUUCAAACUGAUUCACAGAUGCUUACCUGUAAUAGUGCCUCUGACAUAUAUAAGUGUGCUUGAUAGGAUGUGGGAUAAAUAUUCCGCGCGCUGUUGCAGUCCCGAAUUGCCAUGUAAACGUCAUUUUUCCACUUCCUCUGUACAUCAAAGUUUUAUGAUCCCUACAUUUAUUAUGGAACAGAACUUUCACAUGUGACCAACAAAGCAGACAAACCUUAAGGUAUAAUCCUGCUCGAGUGCACAAGCAAUCAUGCCUCAUGUCAUCAUCAAUAUCAGGUCCCACUGAUUCAAGUACUUCGCCGCAUGCGUCAAUCCCACACAUUAAGUUCUUGCCCGUCACCAGAGAUCUAGUCGCAACUUGCAUAAAUUUCCUGCACAUAUCUACCUGAAACGGGCGCCAUGAAAGGCAGAGGGGUUCAAUAUGUGUAGCAGAUGAAGAGACGGAUAUGAUAUGACAAAAUGUCGUGAUGUUAGAAGCUAAACUGCACGAGAGAGAGAGGGAGGGAGGGAGGGAGGGAGUCUCACCCUAAGUAAUUUCCUUGAAGUUGCGUUCACUGAAUCCUUCCUUUGUUUUGCAAGUUUUUUUGCUGCUACUUUGUGAAAAGGGGGUAAAAAUAAUUGCUCUCGUACAUAAUCUGCUGUGUAUCUCACUGAACUCGUACUAUCUGAACUGAUAACAAAAUUUGAUCAGUACAGUAUUUAAGAUCUGCCUUUGUGAAUCAACAGUGGCAGGUAAAGCAUAUAAAAGAGAAUGCAGGCUGGAGGAAAGAGGCCAAGGGCCCUAUGCCCACAUUAGGUUGUGUAUUAGUGUGUGUUGGUGAGUGAGUUGGAGUGAUGGAGUGCGUGUUUGUUGUAAUCUUCCUUUUGGAAGAGUAAUUGUUCAGACUCAGGCUUUAUUUCUAUAAUUCAAAGAUACACAGCUCUCAAACACAUUAGAAAGAAAGACAAAGAAAGUGCACAAAGUGAGCGAAAUGAUC
RNAcentral lists this long non-coding RNA (5757 nucleotides) under Setaria italica (foxtail millet). RNAcentral describes it as "long non-coding RNA (SITA_LNC007358)". Lineage: Eukaryota; Viridiplantae; Streptophyta; Magnoliopsida; Poales; Poaceae. The record is from RNAcentral.